Pygocentrus nattereri (red-bellied piranha) is the source of this 929-nucleotide long non-coding RNA. RefSeq lists it as uncharacterized. The transcript is spliced from 4 exons. The record is from RefSeq and is a predicted model, not a curated record. NCBI's taxonomy places the organism in Eukaryota, Metazoa, Chordata, Actinopteri, Characiformes, Serrasalmidae.
AGCACAGCGGAGGAAAACACUGGAGAUGAAAACGUCAAUAAUAGACAGUCACAGCGGCUCUUGUUUGCUGGAUUUGUUGGGUCUUUCUACGAACGUCGCUACACGUGUUUUGAACAAGCUCUGGUGGGGAAUUGAACUGUUCUUCAACAGUGGCUGAUCUGAUCUGUCAUCAGCUGUGCCCGUCAGACUCAGCCACGAGGUACAGGCUCCUUCAGCUCCCUGCAGAAGUCAACUGUGAGCUCCAGAACACAGAAACCUCUCCAUACUGUCCAGCGUUCUUCAGUCUUCAGCCAACCAUCAACUGUCCUCUUAAAUAUUUGGGAAUAUCCAGCUUUAUAAAACGUAUUUCAUAGUAGGUUUGUCACUCUGGAGCUAACCCGAUUCUGCGUGCAUUCGUCACGGUGCUGCAGCUUAGCUGAUGGGUGCUGCCCCGAGCGACCAAACAUACCAGCAAAUCUCAUGCAGUGCUGGCACAUGGAGCUCCACCAGGAGUGGCUGAUGACUCAAACCUUUGGCGACAGACAGGAGGAUUGGCCCCCUCUCUCACAAGUGUAAUUACAUCCGCUCUUAAACACGGACAUGGCCGCGCUCCGAUGGCGAAUUCCCGCAGAUAACCGUGGGUGGCCCUGGCUGCUGGCGAGGCUCAAGACAGACGAUCCUCCAGAGGACAUGAACUCCAUUUCCCAGACUCUUCAGUGAAGUCAUGUGACUGCAGACAUUUCUUCACCAUCCUAUCAGCGGUCAAGGUCACCUGAGUAUUAAUGUGACUCAGCUGAGUGUGUAUCACAUGACUUUUAGUUUGGUAUAAAAUCCGUAUUGCUUUCACUUGUGAACAUGCUGAGGGUUUUCUGGCCAGACCUGUAUUGUGUGUAUGACUUCCUCCCUGUUCUCUUCAGUUCCCCAAGUAAAGCUUGACUUGUGGCUUCUAA